UACGGGGGGGGCAAGCGUUGUUCGGAAUUACUGGGCGUAAAGGGCUCGUAGGCGGCCAGCUAAGUCAGAGGUGAAAUCCCUCGGCUUAACCGGGGAACUGCGUCUGAUACUGGAUGGCUUGAGUUUGGGAGAGGGAUGCGGAAUUCCAGGUGUAGCGGUGAAAUGCGUAGAUAUCAGGAGGAACACCGGUGGCGAAGGCGGGUCUCUGGGCCGAUACUGACGCUGAGGAGCGAAAGCGUGGGGAGCGAACAGG
Molecule: ribosomal RNA, 253 nt
Filed under: uncultured bacterium
Lineage: Bacteria
Description: partial 16S ribosomal RNA
Rfam family: Bacterial small subunit ribosomal RNA
Source: RNAcentral